RNAcentral lists this unclassified non-coding RNA (236 nucleotides) under Hevea brasiliensis (rubber tree). The record is from RNAcentral. Lineage: Eukaryota; Viridiplantae; Streptophyta; Magnoliopsida; Malpighiales; Euphorbiaceae.
UUGCAAAAUGAAAAUGACCAAGCUACCAUAUAAAACAUCUCAAGCUUGGAUAAAUAAUAGUGAAGUCCAAGAAAGUGAGGGAAAUCAGACCCACUUGCAACAACUGUGAAUGGUUGAGAUAACAUACUGUGCUAUUGCUAUCCAAGAAAGAGAACUUCAUUAAACAAGAGGAAGACAAAGGGGAACAAAGACAUAGAACCUUCAGUUAUGCAAGACUUAGAACUUCAUAUAAGGGA